AGUGCUUGCACUAAAUGAAACUAGAUACAAGCGAGCGGCGGACGGGUGAGUAACACGUGGGUAACCUGCCCAAGAGACUGGGAUAACACCUGGAAACAGAUGCUAAUACCGGAUAACAACACUAGACGCAUGUCUAGAGUUUGAAAGAUGGUUCUGCUAUCACUCUUGGAUGGACCUGCGGUGCAUUAGCUAGUUGGUAAGGUAACGGCUUACCAAGGCAAUGAUGCAUAGCCGAGUUGAGAGACUGAUCGGCCACAUUGGGACUGAGACACGGCCCAAACUCCUACGGGAGGCAGCAGUAGGGAAUCUUCCACAAUGGACGAAAGUCUGAUGGAGCAACGCCGCGUGAGUGAAGAAGGGUUUCGGCUCGUAAAGCUCUGUUGGUAGUGAAGAAAGAUAGAGGUAGUAACUGGCCUUUAUUUGACGGUAAUUACUUAGAAAGUCACGGCUAACUACGUGCCAGCAGCCGCGGUAAUACGUAGGUGGCAAGCGUUGUCCGGAUUUAUUGGGCGUAAAGCGAGUGCAGGCGGUUCAAUAAGUCUGAUGUGAAAGCCUUCGGCUCAACCGGAGAAUUGCAUCAGAAACUGUUGAACUUGAGUGCAGAAGAGGAGAGUGGAACUCCAUGUGUAGCGGUGGAAUGCGUAGAUAUAUGGAAGAACACCAGUGGCGAAGGCGGCUCUCUGGUCUGCAACUGACGCUGAGGCUCGAAAGCAUGGGUAGCGAACAGGAUUAGAUACCCUGGUAGUCCAUGCCGUAAACGAUGAGUGCUAAGUGUUGGGAGGUUUCCGCCUCUCAGUGCUGCAGCUAACGCAUUAAGCACUCCGCCUGGGGGAGUACGACCGCAAGGUUGAAACUCAAAGGAA
This 863-nucleotide ribosomal RNA is filed under the name uncultured bacterium. RNAcentral describes it as "bacterial SSU rRNA". It matches the Rfam family "Bacterial small subunit ribosomal RNA", at positions 75 to 909 of the family's 1533-position model. The record is from RNAcentral.